GGGUCAUUAGGUUGGUCGUGCCACCGGUACGUACUGGUCUCACUGAUUCCUCCUUCCUGAAGAAACGUAAUGCCAUUAAUUUGGUGUUGCGGGGAAACAGGACUGUUACUUUGAAAAAAUUAGAGUGUUUAAAGCAAGCUAACGCUUGAAUACAUUAGCAUGGAAUAAUGAAAUAGGACGAUCGAUCCUAUUUUGUUGGUUUCUAGGAUUGACGUA
RNAcentral lists this ribosomal RNA (216 nucleotides) under Glomeromycotina sp. Its description in RNAcentral is "partial small subunit ribosomal RNA". The stretch from base 40 to 216 matches the Rfam family "Eukaryotic small subunit ribosomal RNA", at positions 686 to 864 of the family's 1831-position model. Lineage: Eukaryota; Fungi; Glomeromycota. The record is from RNAcentral.